RNAcentral lists this non-coding RNA (148 nucleotides) under Pan paniscus (pygmy chimpanzee). The record is from Rfam by way of RNAcentral. RNAcentral also lists the same sequence under 1 other name. Lineage: Eukaryota; Metazoa; Chordata; Mammalia; Primates; Hominidae.
GCCAGGCGUGGUGGGGCACGCCUAUAAUCCCAGCUAAUUGGGAGGCUGAGGCAGGAGAAUCGCUUGAACCCGGGAGGCGGAGCUUGCAGUGAGCCGAGAUCACGCCACUGCACUCCAGCCUGGGUGACAAAGCGAGACUCUGUCUCAA